CCAACCUGUAAAGGGGCUCCUCUGUUAGAAUCAGUUGCUGCUGGGUUUACUGGGCUUUGCAGAUAACUUUUCUCUGUGGUCUUUGUUGAUUUUAUGUUAGACCUGGUAACACGCUUUUAUCUUAUCUGGCUUUUUCUCUUCUUUGCUCUCUGCGUUGUUUGCUAUUCCAGAAUAAAUAUGCAGACAGCCUGCCCCUGGAGGCCAGUGCACUGUGUUCCUCCCAGAGAGCAUGCAAAUAUUUGCACCACACCAGGCUCUGAGCCACGAGACGUGAGCAGCCACACAAGGAGUCAAGAGGGCAGAGGAGAAGCAAAAACAAACAGCAAGUGA
RNAcentral lists this long non-coding RNA (330 nucleotides) under Anser brachyrhynchus (Pink-footed goose). RNAcentral describes it as "lncRNA (ENSABRG00000018795.1)". The record is from RNAcentral. Lineage: Eukaryota; Metazoa; Chordata; Aves; Anseriformes; Anatidae.